Molecule: ribosomal RNA, 440 nt
Filed under: uncultured bacterium
Lineage: Bacteria
Description: partial 16S ribosomal RNA
Rfam family: Bacterial small subunit ribosomal RNA
Source: RNAcentral
CCUACGGGUGGCAGCAGUGGGGAAUAUUGCACAAUGGGGGGAACCCUGAUGCAGCGACGCCGCGUGAGUGAAGAAGUAUUUCGGUACGUAAAGCUCUAUCAGCAGGGAAGAAAAUGACGGUACCUGACUAAGAAGCCCCGGCUAACUACGGGCCAGCAGCCGCGGUAAUACGUAGGGGGAAAGCGCUAUCCGGAUUUACUGGGUGUAAAGGGAGCGUAGGCGGUAGAGCAAGUCUGAAGUGAAAGCCCGCGGCUCAACUGGGGGGCGGCUUUGGAAACUGCCCGGCUAGAGUGCUGGAGAGGUGAGCGGAAUUCCAGGUGUAGCGGUGAAAUGCGUAGAUAUUAGGAGGAACACCAGUGGCGAAGGCGGCUUUCUGGACAGUAACUGACGUUGAGGCUCGAAAGCGUGGGGAGCAAACAGGAUUAGAUACCCUGGUAGUC